CAGCCAAAUCGAACUCCACCUGGGAGACGU
RNAcentral lists this small RNA (30 nucleotides) under Bombyx mori (domestic silkworm). RNAcentral describes it as "ovarian small RNA-13201". Lineage: Eukaryota; Metazoa; Arthropoda; Insecta; Lepidoptera; Bombycidae. The record is from RNAcentral.